This 408-nucleotide ribosomal RNA is filed under the name uncultured bacterium. Its description in RNAcentral is "partial 16S ribosomal RNA". It matches the Rfam family "Bacterial small subunit ribosomal RNA", at positions 28 to 526 of the family's 1533-position model. The record is from RNAcentral.
GACGAACGCUGGCGGCGUGCUUAACACAUGCAAGUCGAACGAAGUGGCGAACGGGUGAGUAAUACGUGGGUCCCCUGCCCUCCUUUUUGGGAUAAGCCUUGGAAACGGGGUCUAAUACCGAAUGAAGGGGGAGUGGCUCGCGGCCUAUCAGCUUGUUGGUGGGGGUAUGGCCUACCAAGGCGGUGACGGGUAGCCGGCCUGAGAGGGUGACCUGCCACAUGGAGACUGUGAUACCGCCCAGGCUCCUAAGGGAGGCAGAAGUGGGGGAUAUUGGACAAUGGGCGAAAGCCUGAUGCAGCGACGCCGCGGGGGGGAUGAAGGCUUUCGGGUUGUAAACCUCUUUCGCUAUCGAACCGGUAGGUGGAGAAGAAGCGCCGGCUAACCACGUGCCAGCCGCCGCGGUAAUAC